Molecule: ribosomal RNA, 691 nt
Filed under: uncultured Bacteroidota bacterium
Lineage: Bacteria; Pseudomonadati; Bacteroidota
Description: bacterial SSU rRNA
Rfam family: Bacterial small subunit ribosomal RNA
Source: RNAcentral
AGUCGAGGGGUAUAGUUCUUCGGAAUUAGAGACCGGCGCACGGGUGCGUAACGCGUAUGCAAUCUACCUUUCACAGAGGGAUAGCCCAGAGAAAUUUGGAUUAAUACCUCAUAGUAUAUAGAGUUGGCAUCAACACUAUAUUAAAGUCACAACGGUGAAAGAUGAGCAUGCGUCCCAUUAGCUAGUUGGUAAGGUAACGGCUUACCAAGGCAACGAUGGGUAGGGGUCCUGAGAGGGAGAUCCCCCACACUGGUACUGAGACACGGACCAGACUCCUACGGGAGGCAGCAGUGAGGAAUAUUGGUCAAUGGGCGCAAGCCUGAACCAGCCAUGCCGCGUGCAGGAUGACGGUCCUAUGGAUUGUAAACUGCUUUUGUACAGGAAGAAACACCUCUACGUGUAGAGACUUGACGGUACUGUAAGAAUAAGGAUCGGCUAACUCCGUGCCAGCAGCCGCGGUAAUACGGAGGAUCCAAGCGUUAUCCGGAAUCAUUGGGUUUAAAGGGUCCGUAGGCGGUUUAGUAAGUCAGUGGUGAAAGCCCAUCGCUCAACGGUGGAACGGCCAUUGAUACUGCUAGACUUGAAUUAUUAGGAAGUAACUAGAAUAUGUAGUGUAGCGGUGAAAUGCUUAGAGAUUGCAUGGAAUACCAAUUGCGAAGGCAGGUUACUACUAAUGGAUUGACGCUGAUGG